GAUGAAGAACGCAGCGAAAUGCGAUAAGUAGUGUGAAUUGCAGAAUUGAGUGAAUCAUCGAAUCUUUGAACGCACAUUGCGCCCCUUGGUAUUCCAUGGGGCAUGCCUGUUCGAGCGUCAUUUGUACCUUCAAGCUCUGCUUGGUGUUGGGUGUUUGUCUCGCCUCUGCGUGUAGACUCGCCUUAAAACAAUUGGCAGCCGGCGUAUUGAUUUCGGAGCGCAGUACAUCUCGCGCUUUGCACUCAUAACGACGACGUCCAAAAGUACAUUUUUACACUCUUGACCUCGGAUCAGGUAGGGAUACCCGCUGAACUUAAGCAUAUCAAUAAGCGGAGGA
This 337-nucleotide unclassified non-coding RNA is filed under the name soil metagenome. RNAcentral's name for it is "partial contains 5.8S ribosomal RNA, internal transcribed spacer 2, and large subunit ribosomal RNA". The stretch from base 1 to 120 matches the Rfam family "5.8S ribosomal RNA", at positions 35 to 154 of the family's 154-position model. The record is from RNAcentral.